GGAAGAAAGUUGUCUGGAAUGGAAGCAAGAAUGGUAACACUGAUUUGAAUAGUCUUUUGUGAAGGAAAUAAAAUGUACCUGAUGGUGGUUAGUGAAUGUGUACAGCCAGAAUGACAUUGCCAUACAUCAGAGUGGCACUUGCAUUAUCUAGAGUGGUCAGAUAUGUUGAUGUACUGGAGAGGCCAAAGGGAGCAAAAGAGAAGAUGGCGGACUCGUUUGUGGUCAUUCUCCUUUUCUGGAGAUCGGGGGAACUACGUACUGGGCAGCCUCACCUGGAUCCAUGAGAAGGUGAUGGAGCGAAUAAUCCUGGAAACCAAUUCCAAAUACAAAGGCAGGAAGGUUAUCUGGAGUAGCUGACUUAGAUUUACAAAGGUGAUAUCAAGCUUGACCAACUUUUCUGGCCAUGGUUUUGAGGAGCCAGCUCUAACAGACCCUGUUCUGAGCAGGGAAAUAAGAGUAUAUGAUGACCAACCUCAGUGAUGUAUUGGAAAUAAUUAAGAUCACAGUUUAUUUCCCGAUUGUAUAAAGAGUCUUUUUUUUCGUUGGAUACUAAGGAAAAGUUAAAAUUCAACAUCUUUUCGUUCAGUUGAACUGAAUUUUCAUUGUCUCUAUUAACAGUAAUUAGUUUUCCCUAAUUUUGGCUUUCUUUUCAGACAUUGCACAGGCAAUGUCAGUGCAGACUUAUUAAGAGAAAAUAGAAGACAAAUACUCCUCAGACACAUGAAUGGCUGAAAACAUCAACUUCAUUGCUAUAGGAAAAUAGCUUGUGUAGCAAAGAGGCUAAUAAUAAUGUUGACAGAUAUGUUGGUGUAACCCUUAUCUUCAGUGAAGCUUAUGUAGUUGUUUUCCUACUUAUCUCCUUUUUUCUAAGAUCAUUUUACUAGGAUAAGAUGUCUAAAAUCAGAUCUUUCUUUGUACAUCCCUCAGUGAAAUAAAUUGACUUUGAUUACUGACAAAUAAUGGAGAGUUUAUUUUUGAGUGAGAACUGCAGCAACCUGUUUGAUGAACUAGGAAAUUCAAAGGUGCUCAGGAAGCAGGUGUGUACUAGUAUUUUUAGAAAGGGUAGAACUUAUAUAUUUCCCCUACACAAGAACUUUCAAACAAAAUAAAUAACAGUAUUAUUGAAAAUCUGAAGCCCUCUGAACUUUGAGGGCUACAUGGAUUUCAUGGUACCUGAGUGUGAAUGCAGAAUCACUUAUGUAUCUAGCUCAAAAUCACUGAUUUGGAAACUUACACAACAUGAAGGCAAAUAAUUAUCCAUCACCUUCUGCAUCCAAUAUAAUGUAUUACAUUUAUUACUUUAUGCCAUUACAGAGUAACUGACACUUUCAGCUCUAUGAGCAAACUCUCUUUUAUGUUGGCUGCAACAUAAAAAUAUCAAGGUAUCAGCAAAUGACUUUUUACUUUACUUUUUUAUAGUAUAUUAAAUCCGCAGUUCUGACAGAGGAAGUUAAAUAUUAGUAGUUUGUUUGGGUUUUUUUAAAGUAUAGGAGUAAGCACUGAACAAGUUUGUUCCAAGACCAGUACAAAUGAUGAUGACCUCUUUUUAUAGAUCUGAAUAAUUUCCAUCCUUACUGCAAUAAUGUUAAUAUUUGUUGGCAAGAGGGAGCACAUAUGGUAGUUAAUAUUGAGCUAUGUACAUGUUAAAUGACUGGCAACUGGGUUCACGCUACUGGACCAGACAGCUGCAGCCAAACAGUUGUAUGUAAUGUCAAAGAGUUAUAUUAGUUUUUUUCCAUAUGAAAGUAUUAAUUUGAUCCGCUCCCAUCUUAUUAACAGAAUUUUCAUGAACACUUGUAAGAACGUUAUUUUUGAGAAUAUAUUCUGCCUUUGAAUUGGUAAGAUGGGACAGAAAAUUUAGUAGGAGAAGUUUUGAUCUGAAGAUGGAAAGACAGACAUUAUGAUCUCAAAAUACUUUCUUUUGGAAACCAGAGUAAAAUAAGCAUUUUCUGACAGUGUACCUAUAGCUGUCUUCUGUGCAGCAAAGUAUGUUAUAAGUCAGAUGAUACUGCUCUUGACAUUUUUAAUGUUGAGGUGUGUAGAUUUUUAAAACUAUGAGAUAGCAUUAUUGGACUGAAAUUAUUGGACUAUAUAACAUUACAUUUCAUUUUCUCUAAAGUAUUAUAGCAUAUUUUCUGUAACUAGAAAUAGACUCAGAUGUCUAAAGGAAAAAGCCAAACAAAAACCAGUAGCAACAAGUUUUUUGGCCUUAGUAUUUGAAAGAGAAUUGAAAUUAUACUUCUGAGUGAAGGAGAAAAUAAUUGACAAUAUUCUGAACUCUUUAAGAUUUCAUGCGAGAUAUCAUUACCAAAAGCUCCAGUUCUGGAAAUGGGCAGCUGAUAACUAAAUUUACUCGUAUAUGUGGUAUUUGAGUAAUUUAUCUGUAAAGGGGUGUUGACUGACGAAAUGGUAAAAAAAAAUCCCAGCACUCAAAACUUCAGAAAAGUGACCUGGAAAUGGUGAACAAGAAACUACCAGCUUAAAGUCAAGGUGUUGUUUACUAGUGCCUAUCAAUUUAAGA
This is a long non-coding RNA of Corapipo altera (White-ruffed manakin), 2521 nucleotides long. RefSeq lists it as uncharacterized. The record is from RefSeq and is a predicted model, not a curated record. NCBI's taxonomy places the organism in Eukaryota, Metazoa, Chordata, Aves, Passeriformes, Pipridae. The transcript has 2 exons.